UAAUGGACUUCAAUCAAACUAUAGACAAAUUCUAAAUCCUAAAUCAAAUCAUAGUUAAAUUCUAAACUCUAAAUAAAAUCCUAGAUAAAUUCUAAAUAUUAAAUUCAAUCCUAAUUAAAUCCUAAACCUUAAAUCAAAUCUUAGAUAAAUCCUAAAUCCAAAACCAAACCUUAAACAAAUCCUAGAUAAAUUCAAAACCCUAACCAAAUCUUAGCCAAAUCCUAAACCAGAUCCUAGAUAAAUCCUAUAUUGUAAAUCAAAUCCUAAUCAAAUUCUAAUUCCUAAACAAGAUACAAAUCAAAUACUAUUUAAAUCCUAAAUCCUUAAUUAAAUCCUAAUCAAAUUCUAAAUAUUAAAUUAAAUCCUAACAAAAUCCUAAAUCCUAAACUAAACCUUAAACAAAUCCUAAAUCCUAAAUUAAAUCUUAACUAAAUCCUAAGGUUCUUUAGAACCUCCAUAACUUUUGAAUAAACCAUUGAUCUUAUUUAAAUUUUUACACACCUAUCAAUCUUUUAGUUACAAACAAGUACAACAAAUUUAAAGACAAUGGCACUUACUAAAUGAAAGAAAAAUCCUAAAAUCUGCUCAAAUAUUGGUUGGCCUCCUUUUUCAACCUUGAUGCUGAUCUUCCAAUGCUAACAUAUCCCCUUUUCACCAUUCAAUUGAUCUCCAAAAUCUCAUAUGCAUAUAAAAAGAAUUCUACUACCAGCACACAUAAUAUUUAUUUUAAUCCAACUGGUA
This 741-nucleotide long non-coding RNA is filed under the name Physcomitrium patens. RNAcentral's name for it is "long non-coding RNA (PPAT_LNC013289)". Lineage: Eukaryota; Viridiplantae; Streptophyta; Bryopsida; Funariales; Funariaceae. The record is from RNAcentral.